Molecule: ribosomal RNA, 467 nt
Filed under: uncultured bacterium
Lineage: Bacteria
Description: partial 16S ribosomal RNA
Rfam family: Bacterial small subunit ribosomal RNA
Source: RNAcentral
GAUGAACGCUGGCGGCGUGCUUAACACAUGCAAGUCGAACGGAAAGGCCCAAGCUUGCUUGGGUACUCGAGUGGCGAACGGGUGAGUAACACGUGGGUGAUCUGCCCUGCACUUCGGGAUAAGCCUGGGAAACUGGGUCUAAUACCGGAUAGGACCACAUUUUGGAUGGUGUGGUGGAAAGUUUUUCGGUGUGGGGUGAGCUCGCGGCCUAUCAGCUUGUUGGUGGGGUAAUGGCCUACCAAGGCGUCGACGGGUAGCCGGCCUGAGAGGGUGUACGGCCACAUUGGGACUGAGAUACGGCCCAGACUCCUACGGGAGGCAGCAGUGGGGAAUAUUGCACAAUGGGCGCAAGCCUGAUGCAGCGACGCCGCGUGGGGGAUGACGGCCUUCGGGUUGUAAACUCCUUUCGCUAGGGACGAAGCGUUUUUGUGACGGUACCUGGAGAAGAAGCACCGGCUAACUACGUG